UAAACUAUAAUUAUUUGUUAC
This 21-nucleotide non-coding RNA is filed under the name Caenorhabditis elegans. The record is from RNAcentral. Lineage: Eukaryota; Metazoa; Nematoda; Chromadorea; Rhabditida; Rhabditidae.